RNAcentral lists this unclassified non-coding RNA (1787 nucleotides) under Eurytemora carolleeae. RNAcentral's name for it is "uncharacterized LOC111716847". Lineage: Eukaryota; Metazoa; Arthropoda; Copepoda; Calanoida; Temoridae. The record is from RNAcentral.
AUGUAUCCAUGUAUGUAUAUCUAGGUAUAUUGAUGUGAAUGAGAAGAAUGUAUACGGUAUGGCCGGACUUCAUGUUGCCUGUAGAUUCAAUAUCGUCAGUGCUGUCUCAGAUAUGCUCAGGCAUCCUGGAAUAUUAGUAAAUGAGAAAACAAUUCUAGGGAGCACACCGCUGAUGGUAGCGGUAAAAUACGCCAGCAAGCAAGCAGUAGAACAUCUCAUUAGAGACAAGAGAGUAGAUCUGGAUACAGUAGAUAAUAGAAACAGAAGACUGGAAGAAACUAUAGGAGCUGCUCUUCAUUCCCCCUCAGCUUCUGAAACUGCUCAUAUUCACGAAAUUAUACAGGACGAGAGACGGUUUCGGUCCGAGGGAGAAGGAAGAAGGAAUAGUCUUGAAGAAGAAGGAUUAGCUAUUGAUGGAACUCAUAGAACCCGAGUAUUCGGGAAGUUAAAGGAGCUGCUUGAGGAGCUCCGUGAGCUGCACAAGACUGAGUUGGAUAAACUUGAGCUGAGGCAAGAGGAGGAGGGUAGACAGCUCAUCACUAGGAUGGAUGAACAGAUCCAGCAGCUCAUCACACACCAGGAGCAGGAGAGGAUGAUGUUAAUGGAGAGAUUAAUGUUGGAGAAGGAGGAGUAUGGAACAAGACAGGAGGAGGAAAUGUGUCGGCUACUCAAGAAGCAGGAGGAGGAAUCACAGUUUCUUGCAAGAACCAGACCUGAUGCAGAUCUUUGUUCAUCAGGGAGUCCCAGACCACAGAGUACAAGAAGACCGAGUUUACAGGGGAUGAGUGACAAAAUGUCUCAGGGAGGAGGGGGUAGUGUAUGUAGUGGUUCCCCCUGGGAAUUCAGUACAACGGAUGAAGGAUACCUCACAAGUAAGGAAACUGAACUGCCUGAAAUGAUCCAUAGUGCUUGGAAGGAGCUUGAGUGCCCUAUUUGCAUGGAGGUAAUGGCUCCCCCAAGUAGGAUUUGGCAGUGUAAAAUGGGUCACGUGAUCUGUGAAUCUUGCAAGGACAGGGUGUCUUUGGAAAAUGGAGCCCAGCCUCCCUGUCCCACCUGUAAAACUGCUCCAUUUAUCGGACGAAAUUUAGCGCUGGAGCGUGUAGCGCGUUCUCUUUUCACAUCCAAGCAAUAGAUAUGAUAAAUAUGAUCUUUAUCCAGAACUUAAGCUGAACUUAAGCUGAAUUAAAGUUUAACUUGAGCUGAAGUUAAUCUGAAAUCAAGCUGAACUAAAGUUUAACUAAAGUCGAACUAAAGCUGAACUGAAGUUGAAUUAAAUAUCAACUGAAGCUGAACUUUAGCUGAACUUAGUUCAAAUUAAAGUUUAACUAAAGCUGAACUAAAGUUGAAUUAAAGUUGAACUUAUGCUGAACUAAAGUUGAACUAAAGUCGAACUUAGGCCGAAUUAAAGUCUAACUUAAGUCGAACUAAAGUCUGACUAAAGUUGAACUAAAGUUGAACUGUAUAGUCGAACUAGUUUUCUCUCUAUGUAAUGCAGGGUUUACCACAACGGAUAAGGCUUCAUGAGACGAUUGUUCGGAAUUUAUUUGCUCACCUAUCAUAUUAUUGUUUAAUUGCAAUUUUAAACAUAUAGGCAUAAAUGUAAGGAAACAGACAGUAUAAAUUCUGUAUAUCGUUUCUGAAGUCCUCGCCUGUAAGAACGGGAUUGGCACAUAUAUUAUGUCACCUGUUCGUGUAAUCUGUGUUGGUGAUAUAUACGCAAUACAAUGCAAAAUUCUUUCACUUGUUUCUUCUUCCACGAAAAGUAGAUAAAUAUUUAGGUAUAUGCA